CCACUAGUAGUACAAACAUGUUAUUCGUCUUUUAGUAGGGAGUCCCCACAAGGGGGGCAUCAAUGAAAAGGUUGAACCUUUACAUGCUAGGAAAACCUUCAGGAGGGAGGUUAGUGCAACACCCGGAUAGAGCGUAGCCUGUCAUCUUAGAGGGAUUCACGUGAGAGUUGCAAUUAAUAAACUUGACACAGAUCCCAAAGAUAAAAGAGCAUGUCAAGUCGAUGCAAAAUUAGGGAGACACACGAUUGAUCGUGCCAAUCAAAGCAAGAUCACGACAAGCAAAGACAUUG
RNAcentral lists this long non-coding RNA (290 nucleotides) under Vigna radiata. Its description in RNAcentral is "long non-coding RNA (VRAD_LNC006918)". The record is from RNAcentral. Lineage: Eukaryota; Viridiplantae; Streptophyta; Magnoliopsida; Fabales; Fabaceae.